RNAcentral lists this ribosomal RNA (952 nucleotides) under Faucicola osloensis. RNAcentral describes it as "bacterial SSU rRNA". It matches the Rfam family "Bacterial small subunit ribosomal RNA", at positions 1 to 951 of the family's 1533-position model. The record is from RNAcentral. Lineage: Bacteria; Pseudomonadati; Pseudomonadota; Gammaproteobacteria; Moraxellales; Moraxellaceae.
AAACUGAAGAGUUUGAUCAUGGCUCAGAUUGAACGCUGGCGGCAGGCUUAACACAUGCAAGUCGAACGAUGACUCUCUAGCUUGCUAGAGAAGAUUAGUGGCGGACGGGUGAGUAACAUUUAGGAAUCUGCCUAGUAGUGGGGGAUAGCUCGGGGAAACUCGAAUUAAUACCGCAUACGACCUACGGGUGAAAGGGGGCGCAAGCUCUUGCUAUUAGAUGAGCCUAAAUCAGAUUAGCUAGUUGGUGGGGUAAAGGCCCACCAAGGCGACGAUCUGUAACUGGUCUGAGAGGAUGAUCAGUCACACCGGAACUGAGACACGGUCCGGACUCCUACGGGAGGCAGCAGUGGGGAAUAUUGGACAAUGGGGGCAACCCUGAUCCAGCCAUGCCGCGUGUGUGAAGAAGGCCUUUUGGUUGUAAAGCACUUUAAGCAGGGAGGAGAGGCUAAUGGUUAAUACCCAUUAGAUUAGACGUUACCUGCAGAAUAAGCACCGGCUAACUCUGUGCCAGCAGCCGCGGUAAUACAGAGGGUGCGAGCGUUAAUCGGAAUUACUGGGCGUAAAGCGAGUGUAGGUGGCUCAUUAAGUCACAUGUGAAAUCCCCGGGCUUAACCUGGGAACUGCAUGUGAUACUGGUGGUGCUAGAAUAUGUGAGAGGGAAGUAGAAUUCCAGGUGUAGCGGUGAAAUGCGUAGAGAUCUGGAGGAAUACCGAUGGCGAAGGCAGCUUCCUGGCAUAAUAUUGACACUGAGAUUCGAAAGCGUGGGUAGCAAACAGGAUUAGAUACCCUGGUAGUCCACGCCGUAAACGAUGUCUACUAGCCGUUGGGGUCCUUGAGACUUUAGUGGCGCAGUUAACGCGAUAAGUAGACCGCCUGGGGAGUACGGCCGCAAGGUUAAAACUCAAAUGAAUUGACGGGGGCCCGCACAAGCGGUGGAGCAUGUGGUUUAAUU